This 119-nucleotide ribosomal RNA is filed under the name Triticum aestivum (bread wheat). The record is from RNAcentral. Lineage: Eukaryota; Viridiplantae; Streptophyta; Magnoliopsida; Poales; Poaceae.
GGAUGUGAUCAUACCAGCACUAAAGCACCGGAUCCCAUCAGAACUCUGAAGUUAAGCGUGCUUGGGCGAGAGUAGUACUAGGAUGGGUGACCUCCUGGGAAGUCCUCGUGUUGCAUGCC